UACGUAGGUUGCGAGCGUUAUCCGGAUUUAUUGGGCGUAAAGGGUGCGUAGGCGGAUUGGUAAGUCUGAUGUGAAAGUGUGGGGCUCAACCCCGUAUUGCGUUUGAUACUGCUAAACUAGAGUACUGGAGAGGGUGGCGGAACUUCAAGUGUAGCGGUGAAAUUCGUAGAUAUUUGUAGGAACGCCGAUGGUGAAGGCAGCCCACUGGACAGAUACUGACGCUGAUGCACGAAAGCGUGGGUAGCAAACAGG
RNAcentral lists this ribosomal RNA (252 nucleotides) under uncultured bacterium. RNAcentral's name for it is "partial 16S ribosomal RNA". It matches the Rfam family "Bacterial small subunit ribosomal RNA", at positions 524 to 776 of the family's 1533-position model. The record is from RNAcentral.